RNAcentral lists this ribosomal RNA (253 nucleotides) under uncultured bacterium. RNAcentral describes it as "partial 16S ribosomal RNA". It matches the Rfam family "Bacterial small subunit ribosomal RNA", at positions 524 to 776 of the family's 1533-position model. The record is from RNAcentral.
UACGGAGGGUGCAAGCGUUAAUCGGAAUUACUGGGCGUAAAGCGUGCGCAGGCGGCUUGUUAAGUCCGCCGUGAAAUCCCCGAGCUCAACUUGGGAAUUGCAGUGGAUACUGGCAAGCUGGAGUAUGGUAGAGGAAGGUGGAAUUCCCGGUGUAGCAGUGAAAUGCGUAGAGAUCGGGAGGAACACCAGUGGCGAAGGCGGCCUUCUGGACCAAUACUGACGCUCAUGCACGAAAGCGUGGGGAGCAAACAGG